AGAGUUUGAUCCUGGCUCAGAUUGAACGCUGGCGGCAUGCCUUACACAUGCAAGUCGAACGGCAGCGCGGGGCAACCUGGCGGCGAGUGGCGAACGGGUGAGUAAUAUAUCGGAACGUGCCCUGGAGUGGGGGAUAACGCAGCGAAAGUUGCGCUAAUACCGCAUACGAUCUAAGGAUGAAAGCAGGGGACCGCAAGGCCUUGUGCUCCUGGAGCGGCCGAUAUCUGAUUAGCUAGUUGGUGGGGUAAAGGCCUACCAAGGCAUCGAUCAGUAGCUGGUCUGAGAGGACGACCAGCCACACUGGAACUGAGACACGGUCCAGACUCCUACGGGAGGCAGCAGUGGGGAAUUUUGGACAAUGGGCGAAAGCCUGAUCCAGCAAUGCCGCGUGAGUGAAGAAGGCCUUCGGGUAAUGAAGCUCUUUUGUCAGGGAAGAAACGGUGCGGG
RNAcentral lists this ribosomal RNA (447 nucleotides) under uncultured bacterium. Its description in RNAcentral is "bacterial SSU rRNA". It matches the Rfam family "Bacterial small subunit ribosomal RNA", at positions 8 to 459 of the family's 1533-position model. The record is from RNAcentral.